Molecule: small nuclear RNA, 102 nt
Organism: Cyprinus carpio carpio
Lineage: Eukaryota; Metazoa; Chordata; Actinopteri; Cypriniformes; Cyprinidae
Source: Ensembl
GCUUGCUACGGCGGCACAUAUACUAAAAAAUUGGAUCGAUACAGAGAAGAUUAGCAUGGCCCCUGCGAAAGGAUGACACGCAAAUCCGUGAAGCGCUCCUUU